This is a long non-coding RNA of Sus scrofa (pig), 5483 nucleotides long. RefSeq lists it as uncharacterized. The record is from RefSeq and is a predicted model, not a curated record. NCBI's taxonomy places the organism in Eukaryota, Metazoa, Chordata, Mammalia, Artiodactyla, Suidae.
ACAACUCUGCGGCUCUGGCCUGUGAAAGCUGCUGGCCGCGCUGCCAAAAUAGUGCGUCGAGGAAGCUGCACGUGUUUGUUUUGAAAUCGCGCUGGUUUAAGUGAGUUCGCAAAGCCAAGCAGACAGCAUAGGCACCAGCCAUGGAGCAGCCCGGCAGUGGCAGUCUCCCCUUCCCUGAGGGCCGCGGGCUGCUAGGUGCGCGAAAGUCAGCGGACCACGAACCAUGUCCACUUAUGUCCCAUCCUCCUGUUUCCUUCCAGGGAGCUGGCACCCUGGCUGUUCUAAUAUCCCUUAUCUGGAGAAGACGUCCCCCCCAGUUCCCUGGCCCCUAGAUAGAGCCCAAGCCUGAUUUGGGGAGGGGCACUAAGGGUUUUCCUAGUGUCAACCCGCUUUCUUUGCUCUGAUUCAGGCCUGAUGGGUUUGUUUCUUUGCCCCCUUUUCUUCUGCGGGUUCCUAUCCCCACCUCAGGCUGUACCCCAGCCUCUACCCACUCAUCUGGGGGACUGUCCGCUGCUCGUUUGAACGACUGCUCUGCGGUUUUCACUAGACGCUUCCCGAAUAAUACUUACCAGCUGGCGCUUGUUUAAGAGCUGGUAUAGACCUGUUAAGCUCUGUAAGCUCUGCUUAAGUAAUGUAAAGGCGACGACUGGUGGAAAACUGCUGUGGGCGUGAGACCUGGAAAGUGUAGGGUUUGGUAAGAGAAACCCAGAGCGCUGGGCUAUUGCUUUCCUUUCCUGGAGACAUUCUUGGGAGUUUGCACGUUGAAUGAUAUUUUGUGGCCAAUGUACUGACAUUUUCAGAGUGAGUACAUAACUGCCUGGUGGAAUGACCAAUACUUGUAAACAAAGGGACGGGGGUCGUGGAGGGUCCCUGGUCACUCUAGCCUCACAUUCAACUCUAUGGAGUUAUGCCUUUGGGUGUUUCAAUCAAAAAUCCUAGGUUCCAUGGUAUCAGAAAAUGGCUGCCAGAAGGAUUCCAAUCCUUCCCUGGAUUUUACUUUCAACUGGAGGGACAGACCCAUUUCAUGGCGCCCACCUCUCUCGCUUUCCCCCCUGCCAACAGGAGAAGGCUUUUGUCUUUGCCAAUUUUGCCCUGCAUCUAACCCAAGUCCCGCUUCACUCCUGCCAGUUCUGAGAUCCGGGGGCCCAUAGCAUCAUUUCACAUGACAGCCACCACUUGCCAAAUCUUCAGUUUUGAACCUAGUGGAGUGGCAGAGGGGUUCUGGAAAAGUUCCUGCUAGGAAAAGGCCUGUCCUCCUACCCAGCCUCUGAGUCUCCGCGCUUAAUAACACAAGCAAGGCUGGAGAAGAGCCCUUGGGACCUAGGCCCAAGGAGGCCUGGCAAAAGCCAACCACCCUGGGACUCGGUGGAAAGGGGCUGGGGUACAAGAGCUCUCUUGUCCGAGGUCUCUGGAGGACAGAGCACAGGUGUCUAGUCAGGAGUGGAAGAUCCUUCCAUCCACCGAACCCCCGCCACAAGGGCCACUCCACAGGAAACCCAUUCGCGGUUUGGGUCCUUUUGUGUUUGAACAUGUUCGUAGACUCCGCGAACUCCAUGCUAAUUAUAAAGACCUAUGUUGGACUCGCUCUGAGCAGAAAGCUCAGACCCAGCGUGGGUUCCUGAGUUCUUGCCCAAAAGGCCAAGGCCCAAAGAACCUUUUUCAUUUGGCGAAGGGCUAGAGGGAAAGGGAGGGGCGAGGGCGGGAGCGGGCCGGGGUCUGCAAAGCAGCGGCCGACGCGGCUGACUUGCCCCGCUCCUCCGCUUGGUUGCCAGCGUCAGUGCCGGCGGCGCGGUAGCCCUCUCCCGGCCAGAGAGUGGGGACGCCCCUUCCCCGCCCCCCGGCGCCCCCGGGGUCGGCGCCAGAGCCCCGGAGACCCUGAGGCUCUGACUUGAGACGGCGAGGCGGGCUUUGGGGCCUCCCCAGCCAGGCCGAGUUUAGUCUGCGGAGGCGACGGCGGGAGGCGCGGGCCAAGGCCAAGGAGCAAGGGACCCCAAACCCGACAGGCUCUUUCCUUUCCUCCCUCCCCACGCCCCAGUCGUUCUUCAAUCCCUGCCCAAAUUGCCCGUCUUCAUAGGACUAACUGCCCGGCCUCACUCCGCUGCCAACCUUGCCCGAAAUCUAGAGCCCAGAGCCGGUAUCCUGCUGGCUACUUGGACAAGAGUGCUACUUGGGCAAGAGUGUAAGCAGAGAGACCAGGGAGAGGCAAUUCAGAAAGUAAAGAAACUGAGCCUCAGGGAGAUCAAGAAGUUUUAAUCAUUUGAGAGAUGAUUUUGGUAUGAUGUCCAGAUUUGACUGUUACUCAAGAAGAAUCAAGUUCAUGUGAAUCAAGGCCCUAGACUGCAGCUGGAGGCAGCCAGCCCUCUGCUCAGCCCUGCCGUGCAGAGUGACACAGGCAGGCGACAUCAUCUGAGUACUAACUUCUCCUACAUCCAGACAGACUGCAAGAACCAUUUCUGAAUCGUGGCACGACAUAAGAGAAGCAAAGGGGUAGCUGCAAAGUUCUGGAUAAGACCUCUGCAGGCAACUGGAAGCACAGUGUACCCAGGUGGUGGGUCUCGUCUGUGGCAAUAUAUUUUUCUGUCUGUCCAAUUGAAUAUGGCUGUAAAGGGAAUAAAACCCCAUGUAAUCUCCAGCAGUGACAAUUUAAUCAGUUGUGUAAGGGGAAGAAGCAGAGUCCCCUCAUUUUCAUAUUUGCAUAUUUGAUUUUUGCAUUGGGGAAUAGAGGUUAUGUUUUUCUAUUACUUCCCAUUCAAUUUUAAUGCUUAAACCUUUUAGGAGCAAUUUUUUUUCCAGUGGUAGGAUAUAUUGAGUCAAACUGGUCAAAAAAUAAGAUUUAAUUUCUGAAAUAAAGCACUUGAUGCAUCAUGCUUUGUGUAACGUUUUUCCCUACAAAGAAUCUAUGUGCCAAACAUGGCUUGCAUGCUCCCAGCUUCUGCCUGUGAUGCAUCCCCUAUUAACAUUCAGAGAUCCACCCUGAAAAUGAAGGCAACUGUUUGGAGAACAAUGCAAAAUGCUGAGAGCUAUACCAUAAUAUGUCCCCUUUUUUGUUAACAUUUCUUAAAAUGGUAAGUCUUAAUAAUAACCGCCUCUCUUUCUGAGAAAGGAGGGUUUCUAAAAUAUCUUAUAGACAUGGGAAUCACUUUUUAUGAGGUUAUAGUGGAGCAAUAAAUACAGUUAAAUUAGUAAAACUCCAUUGUUUUUACAAUUGAUAGAAUGAUGUUAUUGUCCAUAAUGUAGUAACAGAUUAGGGAAUAGAUUUUAAGAUAAAUAAGAUGAAAGUAAUUUGAAGUCAUCAUCAAUUACCCCCAUGUGACUCCCAUGAGUAAAUUAAAAAUCCACUCAGAAUGGUGUUGGAUUUGAAUUACUAGAACAGGGAUAGAUGUUUUUUGUUGCUGUUGUUUUUAAUGCAUCGAUGCACAUAAACCUCUACUUGCAAAAGCCCCAGAAGUAUAUUGGGUAAUUAAAAAAAAAAAGGCUUGUAUUCUAUUUGCUUAAUGAUUUAAAAUUUCUCUACAAAAAGUGACCUCUGAAGCUAACAUUUCUACGAAGAGAAAAAAAAAUAAUUUGAUUCUAUAUAAUUUUGUGAAAGGAGAGAAAGAUUAAACAAAAGUUUUGAAAUGUUACGUACAUUAAAUUUAAUCUACAUAUGCAUUCACAUAUACACACAAUGUGUAUAUGUUGGUGUGUGUAUAGAUAUAUAAAAAUGUGGCCUAAAUAGUGCUAAUCACAUUCUAUAAGAAACUACUAAAAUUGGAAUUCUGAAAAGAUAAGCCAUAGCAUUAUUUUAAAAAGCAAAGCACAUUGUCUUUUAAUUUAUGUCCAUGAAAAGCACACCAGUAGCAGUGUCUAGGCAUGUGCAAUCAUUUGAUAACAGGUAUAAGAUUCUUUUGGGGUGAGCAGAAUUCACAUUAGAUUCAAAGUGAUAAUAUGUUAAGUUUUGACAUAUUCUUGUUUAUUUAAAUCUGCAUUCUGAUGAUCACCUUUCAAAGAGGUAACAAAUAUAUGAAUAUGCGAUCCAGUGAUUAUAUAUUCAAAUUAAUCCAGUUUCUUUGAAUAUGGUCCAAUGAUUGAAUGAGCCUCCAAACACUGUCACUCCUCAGGGAAAUACGCUGAUGCACAUUUUCUCAAAGCCUGGAGAAGACGAGUUCUGCCAAGGAAUGCCUUGAAGCAUGGAAACUCUGCUCUACCUAAACACAAGUCCUAGGCUUUAAUCACAAUGGCUAGGUUCACACUAAAGCAAUUAACCAUAUGAUUGCUUUCUCAGGAGCCCAACCUCAUCAGUAUCUUUCCUUCAGGCAAACUGACAAGGCUGGAUGUAGUCAAUGACUCAAGUAGAUUUGAUUACCUAAGAGGGACAAAUCUCUGAAUACGCAAAUGCAGAGUAGGAAUAGUCACCUCAGUCUAUUUUUUAGAAGUAGCCAUUUCACAAUCCACCUUUUACUUUUAAAUGAUGGAGGUAAAAUGAUUGUUCCACUAAACAAGAGUUGGCAAGUUUUAGAAUGAAGAUUGAGACCAAAUAAUCAUGGCCUAUUGUAUAGUUGGUUGUUUUUUGUUUGUUUUGUUUGUUUUGGCAGGAACUAGGAAUGGCCAUGAUAGCUCUCAAAAUCUUAAAAUAGUUACUUGAGAAUUGGAGGGAGGCAAAAAUCCUUAAGGAAUGUAAUUUGUAAUUGAAUAGCAGCUGUAGAGAAGGUUUGAAAGAUGUGUGUGUGUGUAAGUAUGUGUGUGUACACAUACAUGUGUAAAUUCCUGUGUCGUUUUAGGUCUAUUGUCACAAGUCAGUGCUAGACUUGGUGAUAUAUCAAGUGUGAACCUGAAGCUUUCUAGCAUCUUCUUCUUUGUAUCCUAUUUGGAAGUUUUUGCCAGCAUAACAAAUUUUUUUGGUUACUAUCAACUGGAAUGAUUUUUUCAAAAAUGAGGCACUAACAGAUUUUAAAUGUUUUUCCCACUUAAAAACUGGGUAUGAAUACAAGAUCUGAGCAAUAUAAGUUUUCCAAUGUGUUUGUAAUUUCUUCGCACUUUUUAAAGAUUAUCCUAAAUACUCCUUAAAUGAAAUUAAAAUGCACUAGACAACAGGUAACAUACCUCCCAACGAUGCUAAGGAUUUCAUGCUUCCCAUAUAUAUUGGCCAGAAAUCUGGGAGGUUAUGUGGUCUGAUGAGCCUCACUGGGGCUAUAUCCUAUCCUGGAAUGCCAGUGUACAUACUGCUAUGAAAAACUUGUUGAAAUCAUGAGACUGACUCUGAAAAAGAUUUCCACAAUUUGGAAUUCAUCAGUUGGUUUUAUCACCUUCAGUGAAAGUACACCCAUGGACUUGGGUCUUGAUAAUGUUAGAAGCCUCUUAAAUAAAAGCACUUACACAAAUAAUAGGCAGAUUGGACUUCCUGUUGUGGCUCAGUGGGUUAAGAACCCAACCAGUAUCCAUGAGGAUGUGGGUUCGAUCCCUGGCCUUGCUCAGUGUGUUAUAGAUCCAGUAUUGCUGCACGU